RNAcentral lists this non-coding RNA (63 nucleotides) under Deltaproteobacteria bacterium. RNAcentral describes it as "Fluoride sequence". It matches the Rfam family "Fluoride riboswitch aptamer (crcB RNA motif)". The record is from RNAcentral. Lineage: Bacteria; Pseudomonadati; Myxococcota; Myxococcia.
AUGCAAUGCGGUGAUGGAGUCCACCUUUAACCGCCGGAAAUGGCUGAUGACUCCUACCAGGAU